AUAUGAAGAACUUGUUCAGAUUUGAUUUCAACAUUGCAAUGAGUGGCGAACGGGUGAGUAACACGUGGGAAACCUACUCUUAGCAGGGAUAACAUUUGGAAACAAAUGCUAAUACCGUAUAAUAAUUAAAACCGCAUGGUUUUAGUUUAAAGAUGGUCUUGCUAUCACUAAGAGAUGGUCCCGCGGUGUAUUAGUUAGUUGGUGAGGUAAAUGGCUCACCAAGACAAUGAUACAUAGCCGAGUUGAGAGACUGACCGGCCACAAUGGGACUGAGACACGGCCCAUACUCCUACGGGAGGCAGCAGUAGGGAAUCUUCCACAAUGGACGAAAGUCUGAUGGAGCAACGCCGCGUGUGUGAUGAAGGGUUUCGGCUCGUAAAACACUGUUGUAAGAGAAGAAUGACAUUGAGAGUAACUGUUCAAUGUGUGACGGUAUCUUACCAGAAAGGAACGGCUAAAUACGUG
This 465-nucleotide ribosomal RNA is filed under the name uncultured bacterium. Its description in RNAcentral is "bacterial SSU rRNA". It matches the Rfam family "Bacterial small subunit ribosomal RNA", at positions 53 to 507 of the family's 1533-position model. The record is from RNAcentral.